RNAcentral lists this long non-coding RNA (381 nucleotides) under Androctonus crassicauda. The record is from RNAcentral. Lineage: Eukaryota; Metazoa; Arthropoda; Arachnida; Scorpiones; Buthidae.
UAUCAAAUGAGUGAUAUAUUAAAACUUGCAAAAAUCAGUUGGAGGAGAAGAUUUUGUGGAUAUGGCUAUUGAGGAUAUUCAAGAUUUAUUAGUGGAAGAAGUUGACAAAACAGAUCUGGUGAAAAUAGCAUUCAAAAUAAAUCAAAUUGAUUCUGAAGAUAACAUCACUGAUGAAGAUUGUAAAGUUAAUAAUUUAAUUCUAAAAAAAUCCCAUGAAGGUCUAAAGUUAGCCAAACAGCUAGAAUCACUUUUCUUGAAUGCAGGCUGUUCAGCAGAGAGAAGUUGAAAAUUUAAAAGGAAGCUGCAGAAUUGCUUAUCCCCAUACUGUGAAAUCUGUAACGAUUUUAUAAGGACAAACAAACAAACUAAGAUUACAGAUUU